Molecule: transfer RNA, 76 nt
Filed under: Leisingera daeponensis
Lineage: Bacteria; Pseudomonadati; Pseudomonadota; Alphaproteobacteria; Rhodobacterales; Roseobacteraceae
Also listed under: 3 other names
Description: tRNA-Thr
Rfam family: tRNA
About the family: Transfer RNA (tRNA) molecules are approximately 80 nucleotides in length.
Source: RNAcentral
GCCGCACUAGCUCAGCUGGUAGAGCAAUCGCUUCGUAAGCGAUGGGUCAGGGGUUCGAGUCCCUUGUGCGGCACCA